GUAAAUAUAGCUCAAAAGGACAGAGUAUUAAUUUGUGGCAUUAAUUGUUAAGGGUUCAAAUCCCUUUAUUUACCUA
RNAcentral lists this transfer RNA (76 nucleotides) under Aureoumbra lagunensis. RNAcentral describes it as "tRNA-His". It matches the Rfam family "tRNA". Rfam says of the family: Transfer RNA (tRNA) molecules are approximately 80 nucleotides in length. Their secondary structure includes four short double-helical elements and three loops (D, anti-codon, and T loops). Lineage: Eukaryota; Pelagophyceae; Sarcinochrysidales; Sarcinochrysidaceae. The record is from RNAcentral.